RNAcentral lists this ribosomal RNA (483 nucleotides) under uncultured bacterium. Its description in RNAcentral is "partial 16S ribosomal RNA". It matches the Rfam family "Bacterial small subunit ribosomal RNA", at positions 28 to 523 of the family's 1533-position model. The record is from RNAcentral.
GACGAACGCUGGCGGCGUGCUUAACACAUGCAAGUCGAACGGUGAAAGCGGAGCUUGCUCCGCUGGAUCAGUGGCGAACGGGUGAGUAACACGUGGGCAACCUGCCCCUGACUUCGGGAUAACUCCUCGAAAGAGGUGCUAAUACCGGAUACGAAUCCUGCAGGCAUCUGCGGGAUUGGAAAGUUUUUCGGUCAGGGAUGGGCCCGCGGCCUAUCAGCUUGUUGGUGAGGUAGUGGCUCACCAAGGCGACGACGGGUAGCCGGCCUGAGGGGGCGACCGGCCACACUGGGACGGAGAGACGGCCCAGACUCCUAAGGGGGGCAGCAGUGGGGAAUAUUGCGCAAUGGGCGAAAGCCUGACGCAGCAACGCCGCGUGAGGGAUGACGGCCUUCGGGUUGUAAACCUCUUUCAGCAGGGAAGAAGCGAAAGUGACGGUACCUGCAGAAGAAGCACCGGCUAACUACGUGCCAGCCGCCGCAGUAA